Molecule: unclassified non-coding RNA, 309 nt
Filed under: uncultured Acremonium
Lineage: Eukaryota; Fungi; Ascomycota
Also listed under: 1 other name
Description: sequence contains ITS1
Rfam family: 5.8S ribosomal RNA (bases 1-105)
Source: RNAcentral
GAAAUGCGAUAAGUAAUGUGAAUUGCAGAAUUCAGUGAAUCAUCGAAUCUUUGAACGCACAUUGCGCCCACCAGUACUCUGGUGGGCAUGCCUGUCCGAGCGUCAUUUCAACCCUCAGGGCCCGUUCGCGGGACCUGGUGUUGGGGAUCGGCCCCACCGGCCGGCCCCGAAAUACAGUGGCGGCACACCCGCGACCUCCUCUGCGUAGUAGCAAUGCCUCGCAGCUGGAUAGCGGUUGCGCCUCGCCGUAAAACCCCCCACUUCUCAAAGGUUGACCUCGGAUCAGGUAGGAAUACCCGCUGAACUUAA